Molecule: long non-coding RNA, 185 nt
Filed under: Fukomys damarensis (Damara mole-rat)
Lineage: Eukaryota; Metazoa; Chordata; Mammalia; Rodentia; Bathyergidae
Description: lncRNA (ENSFDAG00000023174.1)
Source: RNAcentral
UCUUCACUGCCAGGCCCCUGAGAAAUAACACAGUUCUCAACAGUGUUUGGUUCAAGGCACUUCCUUCCUCUGUGGCUGCUGGAUUUCAAGACAAAGCUUCCAGAAUGUUAAAAGAUUUUGAAGUAUGUAAUAAAAAGAUAAACAGAACAAAAUUAAAAGUCCAGAAAAAAAGUCCAGAAGAAGAC